UGGGGAAUUUUGGACAAUGGGCGAAAGCCUGAUCCAGCAAUGCCGCGUGUGUGAAGAAGGCCUUCGGGUUGUAAAGCACUUUUGUCCGGAAAGAAAUCCUUGCUCUAAGUACAGUCGGGGGAUGACGGUACCGGAAGAAUAAGCACCGGCUAACUACGUGCCAGCAGCCGCGGUAAUACGUAGGGUGCAAGCGUUAAUCGGAAUUACUGGGCGUAAAGCGUGCGCAGGCGGUUUGCUAAGACCGAUGUGAAAUCCCCGGGCUCAACCUGGGAACUGCAUUGGUGACUGGCAGGCUAGAGUAUGGCAGAGGGGGGUAGAAUUCCACGUGUAGCAGUGAAAUGCGUAGAGAUGUGGAGGAAUACCGAUGGCGAAGGCAGCCCCCUGGCAAGUACUGACGCUCAUGCACGAAAGCGUGGGGAGCAAACAGGAUUAGAUACCCUGGUAGUCCACGCCCUAAACGAUGUCAACUAGUUGUUGGGGGAUUCAUUUCCUUAGUAACGUAGCUAACGCGUGAAGUUGACCGCCU
This 526-nucleotide ribosomal RNA is filed under the name uncultured bacterium. Its description in RNAcentral is "partial 16S ribosomal RNA". It matches the Rfam family "Bacterial small subunit ribosomal RNA", at positions 355 to 874 of the family's 1533-position model. The record is from RNAcentral.